CACAGCCACAGCAAUGACCGAUCCGAGCUGCAUCUGCAACCUACACCACAGCUUACAGUAAUGCCGUAUCCUUAACCCACUGAGUGAGGCUAGGGAUCAAACCUGCAACCUCAUGGUUCCUAAUUGGAUUCAUUUCCACUGCCCCACAGUGGGGAACUCCUAGGCGUAGACUUUUUAAAAAAUUGAAGUAUAGUUGAUUUACAAUGUUGCACAGUUUAGACUUAAUCUCUAAAAGGCAUCAAAUGUUAAGUAGCUGCCAAGGAUCACGUAGCUAGUAAGCAGGGGAGUCAGGAUUCUAAUCCAGUGCUCUUACCUGCUUUGUUCUAUUGCUUCCUGCGUAGGUGAGUCAACACUCAAGGUAAGUAUAAAUGAAAUUUCAUCUACCGUACCAAUAGUCCUUGCAGGCUAAGCUGCAAGUUCAGUAGCCUUUAUAACACUCUUUUAGUGGAGAUAAAAACACUAAACAUUUGGACCGAAAAAUACUCAGAAGUUGGUAAUUAUCUUGUUAAUGAUCAAAGAGAAUAAGCCCAAAGAGGCUAAGGUGAGGAGUAUAAACAUAUUAAAUUGACUUAUUCUCCUACCUGAAACCAAAAAAAUGAUCUCAGCAGGUGCAGAAGUUUGUUACUUUCCAAUCCACCUCAGAGAGAAAUCUACCUCCUCCAUUUUUCUCCUGUCAGUCCCUAUAGUAUGCACAGUUCCAGUGGCCAUUAUCCCUGUCUCUAAAUAAGCAAGAACAAUAAUGUGGUCAAAGGAAGCCUGCUGCUUUUCACACUGGGAAGGCCUGGGUAAAAAGCAGAUUGUGAUUGAAUGGGGAUAAAAGUCAAAUUCCUACUGUUCCUCACCCUAAAUCCACUCUAUAUGCUCUUGUUCUGUCCUAAUUAGUCUCUGUCCCAGAUAGCUACUACGCCUUUUUGGUUAAUGAAUACCCAUGGCCUCAUCAUCUCCGGUAACUGAUCCCACAGGAGGCUGGGAGAGCCUCAUCCGAGCCACCUGACAGAAGGUGCUUUUCUAUUCAUAGAUUGCUUUGUACUUAGAAUCAAUGAAAAAUUAACAACCAGUUUGUUACCUCACCUAGGAGGCAGUGGCUUGCCCAUAAUUGUACAACCAGAAAAUGUUGGAGCUGGUACUUGAAUGAGGUCUUUUGACUAUGCUAAAAACUAUGCUUCUGCUUUCUUGCCCAGUUUAAUCUUCUUCCUCUGGCAAGUCAGGGCAACAGCUAGGGUUAGAUCAGAAAUACGUAUUUACCUCCAAACCUGCUUUGUGCUUAGAUCUCAGAUGCCAGUGAACAAAGUGGGAAAAUAAUGACGAAUAAGCAGAUCAAGACUUGCUUGUAAAUUCCUGUUUUGAUGCUUCCAUUUGAGGUCAUUUUUAAGUUAGAAAAGGCUUGGGGUGAGGUGGAAAGAGAGAGAAAGAGAACAGAGUGGCAGAGCAGGAAACUAGAAUGAGACAGAAAAUAAGCAAAGUCAGUGGUUCUUAGGCUUCCAGCCCACCAGAGGAAUUUUCCGGUAGGUGUUUGACACACAUGCAGAGCACAAAUGUCAAACUUCUAGGAAUUUUGAAAUUCAAAUGUCAAGAGUUUAAGAAAUUUUAAUAACAUUUCAAAAAUACCUGAGAAAUUAGAACAUAUAGCAGAACACUAUAUACUCAGCAUUUACCUGCAGUGGAUUUGAUAAUUUAAGAACUAUUAACAUUUUACCAUAUUGACCCGAAAAAAGGCUCAUAUGUAUAUACAGUUCCUUUUCCUCAAAAAAGGGCCAUGGCCCCGGGAAAAUUGUUUUGAUUUCAACCUCCACUACCUGACUCGUUUUUAGAGGCCCUCCUAAAAUCCUAUGGGUCUGCCAGAGUCAAGGAUCGUAAAUAGGUUUUACCUAACUUGUCAACUCUGAUCAGCUGGCUGGAAGAUUCACCCUUGAAUCCAGGCACAGAGAGAGUGUGGCGCAGGAGAGGGAGUUGGGGAAACUGAGAACUGUCCCUCCUCACAGCUCCACCUCACUAAAUCGGCUCUCUGUGCACUGUGGGACGUGCCAGUGUUCAGUCCAGCAGCAAGAAAAGCUUCCCUCCCUGCGGCUGUAAGAGACUGCAUCAUUGUAAUGCUGUGUUCGCAUCACUAAAAACGUUGAGCUGCACUACAUUCUGGGAGACCCCCGUAAUUCGUGCCUUAAAAAAAUGAGUUGUCCUUCUCUGGUUGGACUCCCUCUGCAGAAAAUUCUACCUCUAACCACUGGCCUGAUUUCCAUGUAGUUCCUCCCUGGAAAGUGUGCAGAAGUCCCCAUGGGAAGAAAUCUUUCUUCAGUUCUGAGCAUGGAGGUAAGGUCAUUUCAUUUCUUCUAGACUGGAGGAGCAAGCCUGCCUUUGCUUUUCAGACAGCUUGUUUUGCAGCAGGCCCUUUAUUAUCAUGAAAGUACAGGAUGAAAUUUUGAGCUUUUUAGUGAUAACACUGAUUAAUCAUCCCUUGGAGCCGGUGAUUGCUUCGUGGUCCCAAGGUAGGGAACCUGCUGGGUUAAAAAAAAAAAAAAUCAUGUUGAAGAGAAUGUUUUGUUUUGUACAUUGAGUAACAGCAUUCUCUGGUGAUCUGUUAAAAUAAGGGAUGUCUGCAAAAAUGAGGAUAAGCAUCGAUGCACCCAAGAAGAUUUUUUUCUUUUCAAAUGGAAAUACAAAUUUGGGGUUGUUAUGUGCACUUUCUUGAACUUGGAAAGAGAGAAACUGAGGCAAUAUUUAUACACUCCUAGUUAGAAGAGAAAACCCUCCAUCCUACUAGUUGCUCCAGAGGUAACAGACAUUAGCCUUUCUUACUCUUCCCUUCGUCUUCCCUCCGUCCCUCCUCUCCUUCCUUUACUUCUUUUUCCUUCAUCAGGCAGAUUGGCUGAGUUUAAAUCCUAAAACCACAGCUGUAUGAGCUGUGAAAUCUGGAGCAGCUUAGUUGACCUCCAUAUGUCUUUUGCUUCAUCUGUACAACAGAGACAGGUGGUGUUUCCCUCCUGAGUUUUGUGGGGUUUUUUUGUUUUUUUUUUUUUUUAUGAUGAUUGAGUGAGUCAGCGCGUGGAAACUUAAGGGUUCUGUCAGGCAUGUAGUAAGCCUCAGGUGGGAACACUUCUUCUGUACUCCCUGUGUUUCCUUCCAUGGGGUGGGAACUACUCUGCUGAGACACUCCCAGCCUCCCUCCCUCUCACUUGCUGGAUAUUGGCUUAAUCUGAUUAGAAUUAGAGUGAAUGAACUGGCAUGCUGGCCUCAGGCUCUUUUCCUCUCUUGGAAGUAAGUGGUUGCCUCUGCUUUUCCAAGGGAAGCCCUCGUUUGAGACUGACUCUGACCCCACUGUUGUAAUGGCAGCACAAUCAGGCUAAUUCCAGAUUGACUGUUGAGAAGGGUGGCACUGUCCUUAGCAGCAAGCAGGAGUCCUGCGCUAUGGAAUUCCUUCCUCAAGGUGUUCCAAAUCCCCCUCCAGAGCCCAGGAUUGCCUGGACAGGGAUCAGCGUGGGCCUCAGACCUGGCGUCUGCCCUCAGGGUGCUCCCGCACGGUCUCCCAUGCAAGUGGAUACAAGGAGAUGCCCCAGGGGUUCCAGGGCUCAUGUCUGUGGGGUCCUUCUGGGGCCCCAUGGCCUGGUUCUUGUUCCAGGAGGAUGGACUGGCCAGGAUCUCUUUCCCCCUAACUGGCAGAGUAUUUCUUUUGUAUGAGUGGGCAAGAUUAGGCCCCUGUAAUCAUGCCGACUGGGAGUACUUCUCACUCCCAUCUCAAACAGAGCAGGUCCAGGUCUUGGCUUGAGCUGCAUGUGUGGGCCUGUGUUACUGAAGUGUGGGCACAGUGACACUCAAGGUGGGGCCAGCAGGUGUCCUUUACCCUGUUCUGUGCCCACCACUGGCUCCUAGGGCAGUCACCCACCCCAGCAGGUGGUCUCUAGGGUGGCUGUGCCAUCUCUUCUGAGGACACCUGAGACCAUUGUCUGGCUACACCAGUGGGCCCUUCCCAUCCGUGUCCUUUCCUGACUUCAGUUCUGGUGACAUCAUGCUCUCACAGGAUGGUCUUAAACUGCUGGAUGAGGGAAUCAGGUUUCUUGUGUAAAAGAAACUAUUCUCUGAUGAUAUGUGGAAGACACGGGUGUGGUCCAUAUGGAGAGAUCACAUUCCAGCCUAAAGAGUUCAAGAGAGGAUAUAGCUGGAAGAUACAUUGUUCUAUUAAUGCCAUGAAAUAAAGCAGAGUACAUUUAACAUAUCUGGAAAAUGAAUUAUUGUUCACAUUUUCCUGCCUAUUCUGGAUAAGACUUGAAUAUAUGGUCAUGAUCAGUGAAGCACGAUAACAACCUUCAAUGAAGUCACUGGAAGCUGCUAUUCACAGACCACACUUUGAAUGAUACAGCAGCAGCAAGAGUAAUAAUGUAACAGCAUCAAAUAAAUGGAAGUCUGAACUUGCAGAGGCAAGAAGACCUAUAUUGUUUUACUACAAAGAGGUUCUGAAAGCCAUGGCACCAUGAGUAAUAACGCUAUUGCUAUCACUUCCUCCCUGCAGGAGAUAUGAAAUUAGCCAGGAAUGUUGUGUAUGACAGUAAAGAACAUGAAUAAGUGGUUCCCGAACCUGGACAGAAAGAAAUGGUGCUACAUAGUAUGAAAAAUCUUCACAUGCACUGAUAGGAUCAUAAACAAAUAGGGUGAGGGAGACAAGGUGUUUCAAACAGUACGCACUGAAGAUCCAACAUCGCCAGUACAUCGCCAGUCUAGCAGCCACUCUGCAGGUUUCCCUGUGUUCACGCGUUUGACGAUUAUCUCCCUUCAUGGGUUAGAAAGAGGGAGCACAUCCUUCUCAGCGAGUGAUCCUGUGGAAGUUUCCUAGUGAAUGAAGUGCAUCAUUACAAGAGAUGGGCAGAAGGGUUCCUGCCACAGAAGAAAGAGAACGACACAUAACUCUCAUACGAUGGCAGAGGUCUGCUUUAGAGGGAGAAGAAAAGGAAGAGUGAGAAAGAAGGAAGGAGAUGGAAGAACACGUUUUGAGGGAGAUGAGAUCCAGAUGUCUGAGGCACUUCCACCGUAAAUUUCAUUUAGAGUUACAGCUUUAGGGAGUAGCAUUCUUCCUUUAUAGUCUUCUAUGCUUAAAUACCAAUCCAUAAAAAUCUCCCUCCUAUGUGUGGGUACAUGUGUGUUAAUUAAAAGAAAAAAAGUCUCCUGCACUCUUAACCCCUCAUGGAACAGAGUGAAAAAAUAUAUAUACAUUAAGAUCCACUGUGGUACAAGUUCCUGCAGAGCAGAGAAGCUCUGAUUUCAGAACUGGGGACCAAAUAUAAUAUUUGAAAUUAAGAGGCUUAAAAUGUAGCAAUGGUUGAGAAGCAUGACAGCUGAGGAAUUAGGGUGGACUAAGGAUUUGUCAGAAGUCGAAGGAUAGAUGAAAAUAAGUUGUUUGCUUGCAUUUUUCUCUUUUCAUGUUGACAGUCAACAGAGUCACUCAGAAGAUAAUGAGUAACUUCAAAGAAAGAAACAGUUAAUCAGCUCCAACACCUAGGACUGCAAAGAACCCUCAAAGAAGAUAAAACAGUGAUAUGUUCACUGGAGAAGGAGGCAUCCAAUUCUAGGGCACUGAGGAUGCCAAACUUUAGGAAAACAUCACAACUCAUGUAAAUGGUACAUGGAACAGACUUGUCUCAUAGAAAUGGCUCAUUGUAUUUAAAUUUUUUUAAUUUUGGUUUCCAUUUCAAUUGAUAUGCAAGGGCCAACUCCUUCCCUGGACCUAGGCAUCACAUGAGUUACCUGUUCACUCUCAUGUCAUUCAAAUCCUCCAGGUAUUCUAAAUUUCAGUGCAGUCUUAAUAUAGAAACUAUAAGCCCAGUCCCUGUAAUAAUCAAAACUACGAAUCUGAUUUAAAAUUGAGGCAUUUCCCCACACCAGGCUUGGGCCAGCAGCUCCAAGGAGAAUGCAGAAUCGGGCCAUGGCUGGCUUCUCUGUUCGCUCAAAGCGCUCUUCUAUCCACCCCCCUCUCAGGUAGGGAAAGGUCUUACCUGUGCAGCACUGUUAUGCAUGUCACCCUCUGACACAUAGUCUUACAUCUGUUAUUUCCGCCUCUCUCAUGGGGGCUACAGACCCUCCCUUCUCGACCCCUUUGCCUCGUACUGUCCCUUGAAGUCUCCUUGACUUGGGUGAUUUACUCUAAGGAUUUAAACCUCCGUGGUUCACCUGCAGCUUCUUUAUCCCAAGGGAACUUUGCACUUCUGGGUGGCCCUCUUGAAUAGGGCAGAAAGUUGCCUCUGCCCAUAACUCACAGUUGGUCCAUGGUGAGCCUGGCCCCUCAGCCCUGAUAGCUGCUGUGGGGUUGGGGUUAGGCUUUUCCUCUCUAGCUGCCCCUCACCCUUCCUUCCACUAGCAGAGCAGCUGUAUUUUGCCCUUUAAAUUUAAUAGCCAGAGUCAGAUGCCAGUGCUCUUCGAUCCCCAACCCCUCAAACUGCAGGGGCAAAGUGUUACCCUCUCUGAUGAAAGCCCAGCUCCCUUGCCUUCAGUAGAACAGGAAGGGGGAAGCAGCCACUAUCCUUGGCUUCUGGGGUGGAGCUGGGACUCAGAAGCUUCCUUCAGAUCUAGCCUCCUACAACGUGCUUCAAUUCUCACCCUUUUAUACCAUCAAAGGGAGUGAGGGCUUUCACCCACUGACCAGUUCAUAUUUGUAUGAUCAUCUAAACUCUUACUUUCUCUAUGCUUUGAAAAAAAUUUUGAAAUAGCCACAAGGAAAAAAAACAAUGAGCAUACCUCAAGGAAAUGACAGCCAGCUACAUUCAUAUCAUUUCUACUUUUUUCAGACAGCCUAAUUUUUUUUUCUUUUUUCCUUUUUUUUUCUUUCUUUUUUUUUUUUUUUUUUUUUUUUUUUUUUGUAUUUUGGACCCAAUUCCUUGAAAGAGUUGGCUGGUCUUGGGUCCUUAUUUUAACCUAAAAUUGUAAAAUUUAAAUAAUCUAUCUAGAAGGCUAAAGCUAAAGCUAUUUAUUAUUUAUGUUUAUAUAUUAUCUCAUUUUAACAAAUGAUUUACAUUGGCAAAAAAAAGAAAGAAGGAGGGAAGGAAAGAAAGAAGGAAGAAAGGAAAGAAAGAAACCCUAAUUCACAAUUGUGUGAAUUUUCUUUCCAGGUAUGGAUAAUACUUCUAUGCUCUAAUAUUUGAUUUUUAGAGUUUUUAUGCAUGUUUGGUGAAACUACCAAGUUUGUAAUAAUCAUAAACUUUAUGACUAGAAGAAUUAUUCUUGUUUCAAAAUAAAUUGAAUGUAAGACAACCCAAUGAUCUUUCUGCUAGUGAGUAAUUGUUUAUGGUCUGUUAGAACUCACAAAUAUGAACUAGUCAGUGGGUGAAGACAAAGUGGCUUAUGUUUAUAUCGGGAAAAGUUAACAAAACAGCUCAAAAUCAUCAGCAAUUUACUGUUGCUAAUAUGCAACUAAUAAACUACAUUUUGUAGAGAAAGAUUGCUGGGUUAGGAGCAAGAAAAUAUAUUUGUGUUACUUUGUAGCCUGGAGAGGAAGCAGUGAAUAAGACCCAGGAUUUGGAAUCAAGAUGCUUGGCUUUGAAUCCUGCCUCUGCUAUUUAGCUAUGUGACCUCGGGCAAGUUAAGCACUCUCUCCUUCCUCAAUUUCCCCAUCUUUAAAAUGGACGUUAUAACAAUGAUGUAGCAGUCAAGGUUCAACCAGAGACACAAAACCAGUAAGAUAUAUAUAUAUUUUUACAUGAAAUUGGCCUUACACAAUUGUGGGGCUUGCUAAGCAAUUCCAGAAUUCAUAGGACACAAGCCAAAGCAGUGAAAUUUCUUCCCCUCCCCCAACAACCCUCACCCUCCUCAGACCAUGAAAGUCUUUGCUUUUAAACCCACCCAGAUUAUCCAGGACAAUCCCCUUUACUUAAAACCAAUUGAUUAUAGACUUUAAAUCUAUGAUUAUAGACUUUAAUUAAAUUUUCAUAGCAACAUAGAUUAGCAUUUGAUUGUAUAAUGGCUGAUUGUAGCCUAGUCAGGCUGACACACCACAAGUACCUACAUCACAGGUUGUUGUAAAGCCAAAGAGAUAGCUCUGCAUCAGUGUCUGGCAUACGCUAAAUACUCAAGUGUUCAUAAAUAUUAUUUACCAGCUCUGUGGCUUCGAGCAAAUCAUGUAAUUUAUCUGAUCCUUGAUUUCUGCAUGGAUAAAAUAAAAGUAUGGGU
RNAcentral lists this long non-coding RNA (8145 nucleotides) under Sus scrofa (pig). RNAcentral's name for it is "lncRNA (ENSSSCG00065016877.1)". The record is from RNAcentral. Lineage: Eukaryota; Metazoa; Chordata; Mammalia; Artiodactyla; Suidae.